Molecule: long non-coding RNA, 291 nt
Organism: Neogale vison (American mink)
Lineage: Eukaryota; Metazoa; Chordata; Mammalia; Carnivora; Mustelidae
Exons: 3
Source: RefSeq, a predicted model, not a curated record
UGGCAGCAACGCAGAUGCCGGAGGGGGCUGCGGAAGAGGCGGCAGCGGCAGCUCCAGGGAGGCCCAGCAACUGAGGAAGGGCAGAGAAGGCCAGAAUGACCAGAGAACCUGCUGUAGAGAAAGGCUUUUGGGGUUUGAGCAUCUGCACCUUCAGAAGCUGCGCUGAAGCCUUCAUAGGCAGCCUCUGCCUUGUGAGGGAAGGCACCUCCACCAGGGGCUGGAAAUUAAACCCAGAACUUGAGUCUUGGAUGCUUUAGGCAGUGCCUUGAAAGAACUUCCUGGAACGGUGUG